AUUAGUUUUUUAAUUGAAGGCUAGAAUGAAUGGUUGGACAAGAAAUAAUCUGUCUCUGGUUAAUAUAUUGAAUUUAACUUUUAAGUGAAAAGGCUUAAAUAAUUUGAAGGGACGAUAAGACCCUAUAAAACUUUAUAUUUGGAAGUGAUGGUAGAUUUUGUUUGUUAGUUAUUAUUUUAAAGUAUUUGGUUGGGGCGACAAGGAUAAAAAGAAAGUAACUGUUCUUUGUUUUUACAAUAAUGUUUGGUUUAGUGAUCCUAAUAUGGAUUAAAAGAUUAAGUUACUUUAGGGAUAACAGCGUAAUUUUCUUUGAGAGUUCUUAUCGAUAAGAGAGUUUGCGACCUCGAUGUUGAAUUAAAGGUUCUUUAUGGAGUAGA
This 377-nucleotide ribosomal RNA is filed under the name Cambarus howardi. RNAcentral describes it as "partial 16S ribosomal RNA". The record is from RNAcentral. Lineage: Eukaryota; Metazoa; Arthropoda; Malacostraca; Decapoda; Cambaridae.